GACGAACGCUGGCGGCGUGCCUAAUACAUGCAAGUCGAACGAGAGCGACCGGUGCUUGCACUGGUCAAUCUAGUGGCGAGCGGGUGAGUAACACGUGGGUAACCUGCCCAUCAGAGGGGGAUAACAUCCGGAAACGGAUGCUAAAACCGCAUAGGUCUUCGAGCCGCAUGGCUUGAAGAGGAAAAGAGGCGCAAGCUUCUGCUGAUGGAUGGACCCGCGGUGCAUUAGCUAGUUGGUGAGGUAACGGCUCACCAAGGCCGUGAUGCAUAGCCGACCUGAGAGGGUGAUCGGCCACAUUGGGACUGAGACACGGCCCAAACUCCUACGGGAGGCAGCAGUAGGGAAUCUUCCGCAAUGGACGCAAGUCUGACGGAGCAACGCCGCGUGAGUGAAGAAGGUUUUCGGAUUGUAAAACUCUGUUGUUAGAGAAGAACAAGUGCUAGAGUAACUGUUAGCGCCUUGACGGUAUCUAACCAGAAAGCCACGGCUAACUACGUGCCAGCAGCCGCGGUAAUACGUAGGUGGCAAGCGUUGUCCGGAUUUAUUGGGCGUAAAGCGAGCGCAGGCGGUUCCUUAAGUCUGAUGUGAAAGCCCCCGGCUCAACCGGGGAGGGUCAUUGGAAACUGGGGAACUUGAGUGCAGAAGAGGAGAGUGGAAUUCCAUGUGUAGCGGUGAAAUGCGUAGAUAUAUGGAGGAACACCAGUGGCGAAGGCGACUCUCUGGUCUGUAACUGACGCUGAGGCUCGAAAGCGUGGGUAGCAAACAGG
This 767-nucleotide ribosomal RNA is filed under the name uncultured Granulicatella sp. RNAcentral's name for it is "bacterial SSU rRNA". It matches the Rfam family "Bacterial small subunit ribosomal RNA", at positions 28 to 776 of the family's 1533-position model. The record is from RNAcentral. Lineage: Bacteria; Bacillati; Bacillota; Bacilli; Lactobacillales; Carnobacteriaceae.